This is a long non-coding RNA of Labeo rohita (rohu), 1601 nucleotides long. RefSeq lists it as uncharacterized. The transcript has 3 exons. The record is from RefSeq and is a predicted model, not a curated record. NCBI's taxonomy places the organism in Eukaryota, Metazoa, Chordata, Actinopteri, Cypriniformes, Cyprinidae.
UUGAUGUAUUUGUAAGGCGCAGGAUUUAAACGUCUUACUUUGAUCACAAUAGUGCAAUGUGUUUAAGGUUAAAUUUGUUUUUAUUUAACAGUACCUAUAUUUAUAAAUAUUUAAUUUUUGAUUUUUUAAAGCUAUUUUGGCAUCUUUCUAGUUGACAUAACCGGAAAAAAGACAAUUAAAAUGCGUCAGGUAUUAAAUAAACCUCUUUAUUUAGCUUUUAUCAUCUGACAAACUUUUUCAUCAGAACUUUCUCAUAGAUCAACUUGGCAUCAAAGGUCCAAAAGUGUGUCAGAGAAGUUAAGAAGAAGCGAAACACCGACAUCCGACCGUUCACGAAACCCUCUAUUUACAAAUAGGUAGUCUGUUUUCAGCUCGACCGCGGAGCUUCCUCCGUCUCUCCUCACACCGCAAUCCGCAGAAACGCACGCUGCUGUCCUCUGUCCUUUGCAAAGGUGAAACGAAUAAGAUUAAAACGAACAAAGAGAAACUUCUGUAAGUGUACCAUCAAGGUUUUACUCCACAGAUAGGGAAGAGAGCGAGAGGGGAGAGAGGGAGAGGGACAGCGAAUGGGAACACAAGGCACGCAUGAAAACAGCUCUGAAGAAAUGGUAAAGUGGACACUUGGACAUUCAAAGUGCGAGCGCCCAGCGACUGAAACGGGCGAAUCAUCUAACUGCCAGUGUGGGGCUCUGUUGAAUGCGUGAUUAAGGUGGCCGUCACUGGGGAUGAAGAAAAACAGAUUCUCAAAGAUGGGCAGCUAUGAGAUGUCGUCAGGCUUUAGGUGGAAAAACACAUGCACAUGGUUUGAUUAUACUUAUUAAUACACAUACACUUACACCCACAGAUGUAAAAACAUCACCUGCAUCUCCGUUUACACGUCAGCCUCUUGAACUGUACAUCGAGUGUCCCUCUAUCAGUUCUAUCUGCCUGCAAAGCAAAAGAAUGCAGCCAUCAUUUCCAAACACACAUUCCUCUUCACCUCUUAAAACAUCAGCUUUUGAUAAAUAUAGGCAGGUUACCAGAGCUUUUAUUUAAAAAUCUGUGAAACAGCGUGUUUUCAAAAGUGAAAGAGGACCGAUUACAGACAGCUGUGGCACUCCAAAUGUGCCUCUCCACCCCAUGGUUAGGACAGCAGUUAGUGAGGGACUUCCUGCAUGGAAAGCUGUGUAUGUUUUCCUUCAGUGAAUUGAACAUCCUGCAGAUCUUAAAUUCCAGUCAGCAGUAAACUCCCUGACCUCUGAGCACAAAAUUAGGCACAUCAUACAAGCAAAAGACAAGAGGGAAAGAAAGGCAUGCAAAACAGAACAGAAAGAUGGAAAUAAAAGAAAGAUGACAGUGUGAUUAAUUAUAACCUAUAUGCUACAUAACCAAAACAGUUCAAGCUAAUGAUAGUUUUCAUUUUUGUAAAAUAUACAAACUAUUUCUCUAUUUCUGACCAUAUGUUAUCAAGUUAAUUCAGUCAAAUUUUGAAAUAGUGUUUGCUUGAAUAAAACCAGUUCAUUUAAGUUGUUAAAACAUGGAACACAUUUGUUAGGUUACAUGAUGACAAACAUUUUUUUGCAGUAUAGCUAAUCACAGGAAAAUGUGGAACAAUGAACAAA